RNAcentral lists this non-coding RNA (27 nucleotides) under Rattus norvegicus (Norway rat). The record is from RNAcentral. Lineage: Eukaryota; Metazoa; Chordata; Mammalia; Rodentia; Muridae.
UACCUUGAGCCUGGCCUCACUAGGUAG